AUGGACAAGUACGCCAUUCACAUCCUUGCAGUAGCUCUUCUGUUGCAUCUCGUAUGCUAUGCUUCUGUUGUGCAAUGCCGAACCAUCACCGACGUAGACAAUGAGAAGGUCAAACUACCAUAUGGGUUCUGCGGCAUAGAAAAGUGGUGCACCGGUGCUUGCUUCUGUUGCUUCACAACUCCGUAUUGCUACAGUUCAAAGGAUGAGUGCCUGCAAAAUUGUAAAAAUUCCAGGCCUUCAGAAAGUAUACUAGCGGCAAAGAAAACCACUCCUUUACCUGAUUCUUCAACAGCAUAG
This 297-nucleotide ribosomal RNA is filed under the name Triticum aestivum (bread wheat). Its description in RNAcentral is "partial small subunit ribosomal RNA". Lineage: Eukaryota; Viridiplantae; Streptophyta; Magnoliopsida; Poales; Poaceae. The record is from RNAcentral.